AACGCAUCUUGCGCUCCCUGGUAUUCCGGGGAGCACGCCUGUUCGAGUGUCGUGAAUACCUCAAGCUGGACGCUUUCUUGGCGUCUCAUGCUUGGAUUUGGACUUUGCCUGUUGCCUAGAGUGACGGGCUGGUCUUAAAUGCAUUAGCUGAUCCAUGCUUGUGUACUUGGUUCUACUCGGCGUGAUAAUUAUCUGACCGCUGAGGACAUUUGCCUUGUUGCGAAUGGCCAGGUGUACCUUGGGUUGCUUCUAAUCGUGGUUACACACAAUAUUUUUUCAACUUUGACCUCGAAUCAGGUGGGACUACCCGCUGAACUUAA
This 320-nucleotide unclassified non-coding RNA is filed under the name uncultured Clavulinaceae. RNAcentral describes it as "sequence contains ITS2". Lineage: Eukaryota; Fungi; Basidiomycota; Agaricomycetes; Cantharellales; Hydnaceae. The record is from RNAcentral.